RNAcentral lists this transfer-messenger RNA (384 nucleotides) under Opitutales. RNAcentral's name for it is "CAJWYM01 sp913049555 Standard tmRNA". It matches the Rfam family "transfer-messenger RNA". From Rfam's summary of the family: Bacterial tmRNA, also known as 10Sa RNA or SsrA, is named for its dual tRNA and mRNA-like properties. Its role is to liberate the mRNA from a stalled ribosome. Lineage: Bacteria; Pseudomonadati; Verrucomicrobiota; Opitutia. The record is from RNAcentral. RNAcentral also lists the same sequence under 1 other name.
GGGGGUGUUCCGGAUUCGACCCUGAUACUAGAGGUUAUAGUUGCAUGUAGGAGAUGAUACUUGGCUCCUUAAAAAUGUAUCACAAAAAUCAAAUGGCAACUCAAAUAACGUUGUAGAAUUCCCUGGUGCAAGCCAAGAAUUCGCUAUGGCUGCUUAGUCGGUCACGUCUAUAAUCGCAGAUACUCGCUAAGCGGUUAAGGCGUCUAAAAAGCGAGUAAAACCUCCCACUUUUUGUGAAUUUUUCAGAGGCUAAUCAGAAAAAUUCAAUCGAAAAUGAAGGUGUUCCUUCUUAAUUAUUUUUUAAAUUGAAUAAGUGAACUAAACAUGUAGAGGCUGUAGUUAAAAGAUCGGGACACGCGGGUUCAACUCCCGCCACCUCCACCA